Molecule: long non-coding RNA, 1765 nt
Filed under: Homo sapiens (human)
Lineage: Eukaryota; Metazoa; Chordata; Mammalia; Primates; Hominidae
Description: HSALNT0366051
Source: RNAcentral
CAUGCUUGUUUUCUUCCUUUUAACACCCAACAACUUUUGCCAAAUGAGACUUAAGUACAUUAAUCACAUCAUACUCUUUCCCAAGCUGUCUCUGCUCACUAGAGUUUGAGUCUGUCGGUGAUUCUCCUAUAUAGAAGGCAUAGCUGAUACAAAUUCAAGACAGGAAAAGGCAAGGUGGAGAAAUCAAGACCCCAACAGAGGGCUGACCAGGUUACUCAGCAAUGCUGUGGCAGAAACACACAAAAGAGUCCGUGGCUUGUGAUUCACAGGCCAAGACGCUGCCUUGGCGCAGCACUCCCCGUGUUGACGUGGAAGGUGGUGAUGGCAGUGAGCAAAAAAGUGAUCCAUGCACAGAUGCAUUUGUGAACGCCGGAUGAAACAAAGUUAAAAUAGGACCCAGCGGAUGAAGUGGACUGAAACACUGAAUCUGAAACAUUGAUGAUCACUACAGCAAAGGGAAGAGCUCGGUAAAUUGUGCAUAUCGUUCUUAGAUCUUCCACCCAAAAGUAACACUUCCACUUACAUGUAUUGGCCACGAGACAGGAUUGUGCCAUGUUGCCCAGGCUGGUCUGGAACUCCUGGACUCAAGUGAUCCACCCACCUCGAACCUCAACUUCCUAAAGUGCUGGGAUUACAGGCGCGAACCACUGUGUCUGGCCUCCGGGUGGUUUUAAGUGGGAACUUUUAUUUCUCACACAUUCUUCUGUAUAUUCUAUAUUUUCUACAAGAAAUAUAUAUUACUUUUCUAAUCAGGAAAAAAAAUGAAUAUAUGCAUGUGCCUUUACAAAACUGUUCUCAUUCUGCAGAUGAGUGAAACCAAGGUAACAGAUGGGAAGGAAAUGACUCACGUAAGAUCACACAGCAAUCGAUGUCACAUUAUGACAAUGUUCAGGAAACUGCAUUUCCAUUUUUGCACCCCACUCUCUUGGGUCUGUGUUACCCACAGCUUUUCUAACAAGAAUCUCGUUGGCAUCUGACUUGAUCUGGGGACCUAGCACUACACUAUGCAGAAGGGGGCCCCCCCUCAGAAGCCCAGUAUCAGUUAGUAUGUGCUUAUCUGCAGGGGCUCACUGCUGUGGGAGUUUCAGAAGUAGAAGCCACAGUCCCUGUUCUCAAAGGCUUACAGAUGGGUACUCACAGUUGCACAUGAAGCAGGGAUGUCAGUGCUGUUGUGCAGACUCUGAAUGCUGUAAGAAUAGCAGGGGAAGGAACUGGUUGUCAGAGGAGAAACCAAGAACCGUUGGCACAAAAUCUUUUUACCAGGGUUGUUCACAAAAGAAAAAAUGCUGGAAGCUCUGCUCCUUUUAAUUUCCCCCAGCUACCCUGUGUAGGCACCUGAAGGUCAACAGUAUGAAGGAGAAGGGGGUAGAAAUGCACAAAAUAGUUCUCGUUUUGCAUAUUCCAUAGUUCAUAGUAUGUAUUGAAGGUCUUCUUUGACAAACCCCACUGAAGUUUCCUGAUUUCACCUUCACCAUGGCUAAAAGCAGCAGCUCGCCCCCACGCUUUGAUUUUUCCCUCCUGUACUUUCUCUUCCCCUUCUGUUUCUCUUGGUGAGGGGUCCAAAUUGGAAACUUUUUUGUCCCACAGCCCACCAUAAGGGUUCAUUCUGUGAACCUAUGUCUAUUGCAUCCCAGCUUACCUAACAGCUCUUUCCCCAAGAACCAAACUUUAAGUUCCUCUCAGCAGCACAGUAAAUCUUCAGAGGCUAAUACAUGUUUUUUUUUUCUUGAGAUGGAGUUUUGCUCUUGUUGCCCAGGCUGGAGUG